GACGAACGCUGGCGGCGUGCUUAACACAUGCAAGUCGAACGGAAAGGCCCUGCUUUUGUGGGUUUCUCGAGUGGCGCACGGGUGAGUAACACGUGAGUAACCUGCCCUUAUCUUUGGGAUAACAUCAGGAAACUGGGGAUCUUACCGGAUAUAAUCUCCUGCUGCAUGUUGGGGGAUGGAGAGUUUCGGCGGUUGGGGCUGGACUGGCGGCUUAUGAGCUUGUUGGUGGGGUAGUGGCUUACCAGGGCUUUGACGGGUAGCCGGCCUGGGAGGGUGACCGGCCACAUGAGUACUGAGAUACGGCCCAGACGCCUACGGGAGGCAGCAGGGGGGAAUAUUGCAGAAUGGGCGGAAGCCUGAGGCAGCAACGCCGCGUGCGGGAUGACGGCCUUCGGGUUGUAAACCGAUUUCGCAGGUGACGAAGCGGGAGUGACGGUAAUGGGUAAAGAAGCACCGGCUAACUACGUG
This 468-nucleotide ribosomal RNA is filed under the name uncultured bacterium. RNAcentral describes it as "partial 16S ribosomal RNA". It matches the Rfam family "Bacterial small subunit ribosomal RNA", at positions 28 to 507 of the family's 1533-position model. The record is from RNAcentral.